Molecule: ribosomal RNA, 572 nt
Filed under: uncultured bacterium
Lineage: Bacteria
Description: partial 16S ribosomal RNA
Rfam family: Bacterial small subunit ribosomal RNA
Source: RNAcentral
UGGGGAAUUUCGGACAAUGGGCGCAAGCCUGAUCCAGCCAUGCCGCGUGCGGGAAGAAGGCCUUCGGGUUGUAAACCGCUUUUGUCAGGGAAGAAAUCUUCUGAGUUAAUACCUCGGGAGGAUGACGGUACCUGAAGAAUAAGCACCGGCUAACUACGUGCCAGCAGCCGCGGUAAUACGUAGGGUGCAAGCGUUAAUCGGAAUUACUGGGCGUAAAGCGUGCGCAGGCGGUUUUGUAAGACAGAGGUGAAAUCCCCGGGCUCAACCUGGGAACUGCCUUUGUGACUGCAAGGCUUGAGUGCGGCAGAGGGGGGAUGGAAUUCCGCGUGUAGCAGUGAAAUGCGUAGAUAUGCGGAGGAACACCGAUGGCGAAGGCAAUCCCCUGGGCCUGCACUGACGCUCAUGCACGAAAGCGUGGGGAGCAAACAGGAUUAGAUACCCUGGUAGUCCACGCCCUAAACGAUGUCAACUGGUUGUUGGGAAGGUUCCUUCUCAGUAACGUAGCUAACGCGUGAAGUUGACCGCCUGGGGAGUACGGCCGCAAGGUUGAAACUUAAAUGAAUUGACGGGGU